ACCUCCUCAAUUCCGGCUUCGGCACAUGAUCCCCCGUUCCCAAUGGCCAAUCUCUCUCCCCUCUUCUGGAACCCAAGGUAAGCUUCUACUCCUCGCCGUCGCUUCUUCGACUCCGCCGACCCGUCUCCUCUCUGUUGCUUCCUGGAGAGAGUGACGGCCUCUCCUCUUACCACGGGGAAGAGUUUGGCUGCGACAUUGGAUUUCUGAAUUCUUUACGUUUCUGGAAUGGGAUUCGUAAGAAACAGCCAGCUGUUCCGAGCUGCGGGAUUUUGAUUAGCGGAUUCGACUUCAGGAGAUUGAAUAAGUGAUUCAUUGGGUUGGAGAUGGAUUUGAACUCGAAGAAGUUCGCUGAAGGCUUCACGAAAAUCGAAGCUGAAGCUGACGAAUUCUUUAUUGCUCGAAGUUUUCCCUUCUCUAAAUGAUUACUCUCCGAUCUGUUAAUUCUGUUUCAGUUUCCUUUUUGAUUUUUUGUUUUUAUGAUUUGGAUAUAAAGAAGGGAAAUUUUCCUAUAUAAUCAUUUGGAUUUCACUGUUUCAAUUCCCAUUAAGGUUAGGGUUCUCUUCUCGGAUGCAUAAUGCCUAUUUAAGGUGUUCUAGUGUUCAGUUCAUAACAUUCUUCAGGUGAUCAAGGCACACAAACAGAGAAGCAACACAACUCCCGUUCCUCCGUAGAGUGUUUUCUGCAGAUAUCCAGAUAUGGGUCGGAAUAGUCUUCGGAAAGUCGUCGGCUUUGCAAAAGAUCUGGCAUCUGUAGGCAAAGUCGUUGUGCGUUCCAAUGGCGAUUAAACAGAUUUCUUCCGCAUCGAGGUAGCAGUGAUCGGUGCCACUAACCACUAUCAGACCCGCAUCGACGACAGAUCCAUCAACCGUAUACUCCUCUGCGUCUCUGUCCAUCCAGAAUCCGUCUCUCUUCUCGUUGACUCCAUUUCUCGGCGUCUAAAGAGGACCAGAGACCGUGUCGUCGUCCUCAAGACUGUUUCUCGUUCAUGGUAUCUUGGGCAAUACCAGACAGUUGCGUGUCACGAGUGCUAUUGGCCAUCUCCUAAUGAACUGCAAUACUAUGUUGCCUAUCUCCAAGAAAGAGCUGGAUGGAUCGUGGAUCAGUCAGGUAGGCUUCAGCCCAUCAAAUCCCGUGGUGUGAAGUGCAUUCAAGGCGAGGAAGAAGAAGAAGAAUACACAGAUACGAUGUUCCAUAUCUUGAAGUGUCAGGACUUGAUUCAAAAGACGUUGAACUGCUCACCAAGUAAUGACGCCUUGCAUAUCAAUCAUAACCUAGUCCAAGCAGUUCUCUGCACCAUCUUGGAAGAUAGUUUCGAGGUUUACAAGUCAUAUUCAGACCAGACAAAGGAGUUGUCUCACUUGUUGUCAGAUCUGCCAAGGCCUGCAAUGCCUCUGGCCCGUUAGAUGUUGGAGAAAUCUUCACAACAGUGUCGAGAUCUUCGCGGGUUCUACAAGAAGUGCAGAGGGAAGUUCCCACCAAUGGAAGACAUGAAGAUGGAACCCGCAAAAGCAGAGGAGCAAAUGACAAGCCUCAUCUCAACUCAAGGGUUCGUGCCUUUUCCAAGAUGGUUACCGGCCGAGACAUCAGUCUCCAUCUCCUCCUCGUACUGACAGACAGAUCUGCCCGUGACGGUGUCCUCACGACUCCCUGGUUUCGCCCUUGGCGCGUUAUCACACCAAUCUUGAGCCUUGAUUUUUAAACUUUUCUAGAUUUCUUUUGAGAUUAUAUUUUCUUCUCUGGUCUCUUGAGGGUUGGAUUGUAAAUGUAACACCUUUGUCAAAGGAUUCUGUGAAGAAAUUUCCCA
This is a long non-coding RNA of Tarenaya hassleriana, 1804 nucleotides long. RefSeq lists it as uncharacterized. NCBI's taxonomy places the organism in Eukaryota, Viridiplantae, Streptophyta, Magnoliopsida, Brassicales, Cleomaceae. The transcript is spliced from 2 exons. The record is from RefSeq and is a predicted model, not a curated record.